RNAcentral lists this ribosomal RNA (834 nucleotides) under uncultured archaeon. RNAcentral describes it as "bacterial SSU rRNA". It matches the Rfam family "Archaeal small subunit ribosomal RNA", at positions 21 to 859 of the family's 1478-position model. The record is from RNAcentral.
AGGUCACUGCUAUCGGUGUUCGAUUAAGCCAUGCGAGUCGUGAGGGGUAAAGCCCUCGGCGGAGUGCUCAGUAACACGUGGACAACCUACCCAAGAGUCAGGGAUAACCCCGGGAAACUGGGGAUAAUACCUGAUAGGCCAUGACAUCUGGAAUCGAGUUGUGGUUUAAACGUAAGGCUCUUGGAUGGGUCUGCGGCGGAUUAGGUUGUUGCCGGUGUAACGUACCAGCAAGCCUGUAAUCCGUACGGGUUGUGGGAGCAAGAGCCCGGAGAUGGAUUCUGAGACACGAAUCCAGGCCCUACGGGGCGCAGCAGGCGCGAAAACUCUACAAUGCAGGCAACUGCGAUAGGGGAACAUCGAGUGGCAUCCACCAUGGAUGUCUGUCCAAUCGUCUAAAAAACGAUUGUCAGCAAGGGCCGGGCAAGACCGGUGCCAGCCGCCGCGGUAAUACCGGCGGCUCGAGUGGUGGCCGAUAUUAUUGAGUCUAAAGGGUCCGUAGCCGGCUUUGCAAGUCCUAUGGGAAAUCCAGCGGCUUAACCGUUGGGCUUUCAUGGGAUACUACAUUGCUUGGGACUGGGAGAGGUAGGAGGUACUCAGGGGGUAGGGGUGAAAUCCUGUAAUCCUUUGGGGACCACCGGUGGCGAAGGCGUCCUACCAGAACAGGUCCGACGGUGAGGGACGAAAGCUAGGGGCACGAACCGGACUAGAUACCCGGGUAGUCCUAGCCGUAAACGAUGCUCACUAGGUGUCACGGCAGUCGUGAAUUGUCGUGGUGCCGUAGGGAAGCCGUGAAGCGAGCCACUUGGGAAGUACGACCGCAAGGUUGAAACUUAA